GUAGGGAAUAUUGCACAAUGGAGGAAACUCUGAUGCAGCGACGCCGCGUGAGUGAUGAAGGCCUUCGGGUCGUAAAACUCUGUGAUAAGGGAAGAUGAUGACGGUACCUUAUCAGAAAAGACCGGCUAACUUCGUGCCAGCAGCCGCGGUAAUACGAGGGGUCUAAGCGUUGUUCGGAAUCACUGGGCGUAAAGCGGGUGUAGGUGGCUAUGCAAGUUGGAUGUGAAAGCCCCGGGCUCAACCCGGGAAGUGCAUCCAAAACUACGUAGCUUGAGUGAGGGGGAGAAAGGCAGGAAUGCUGGUGUAGGGGUGAAAUACGUAGAAAUCAGGAGGAACGCCGGUGGCGAAGGCGGCCGUUUGGCCCAGCACUGACACUCAGACCCGAAAGCGUGGGUAGCAAACAGGAUUAGAUACCCGGGUAGUCC
RNAcentral lists this ribosomal RNA (425 nucleotides) under uncultured bacterium. RNAcentral's name for it is "partial 16S ribosomal RNA". It matches the Rfam family "Bacterial small subunit ribosomal RNA", at positions 354 to 796 of the family's 1533-position model. The record is from RNAcentral.